UACGUAGGGUGCAAGCGUUAAUCGGAAUUACUGGGCGUAAAGCGUGCGCAGGCGGCUUUGCAAGACAGAUGUGAAAUCCCCGGGCUCAACCUGGGAACUGCAUUUGUGACUGCAUGGCUAGAGUACGGUAGAGGGGGAUGGAAUUCCGCGUGUAGCAGUGAAAUGCGUAGAUAUGCGGAGGAACACCGAUGGCGAAGGCAAUCCCCUGGACCUGUACUGACACUGAGGCACGAAAGCGUGGGGAGCAAACAGG
Molecule: ribosomal RNA, 253 nt
Filed under: uncultured bacterium
Lineage: Bacteria
Description: partial 16S ribosomal RNA
Rfam family: Bacterial small subunit ribosomal RNA
Source: RNAcentral